This 588-nucleotide unclassified non-coding RNA is filed under the name Hevea brasiliensis (rubber tree). The record is from RNAcentral. Lineage: Eukaryota; Viridiplantae; Streptophyta; Magnoliopsida; Malpighiales; Euphorbiaceae.
AAGAGACUCUUUUGAAAGUAAAGCAACUUGAAAGCAUGGUGGAAGAGUUGCAAACCAAGAAGGUUGAUGCUGAACAGGAGAGUGCAGGGCUAAAUGAGGCGAAGUUGAAGCUUACUCAAGAACUGGCCUUAAUUGAAUCUAAUUUGAGUGAUCUCCAGGCCAAGUUGUCAGCUGCAAACGUUGAAAGAGAUGAAACUGCUGAACGGCUUCAGACAGCAGAGGGUCAGAUUAAAUUGGUUGAAGCAAAGGCUCUGGAAGCUUCUACAAAUGCAGAAGCUCAUAAGAGUCAGCUCGAAGAGACUCUUUUGAAAGUAAAGCAACUUGAAAGCAUGGUGGAAGAGUUGCAAACCAAGAAGGUUGAUGCUGAACAGGAGAGUGCAGGGCUAAAUGAGGCGAAGUUGAAGCUUACUCAAGAACUGGCCUUAAUUGAAUCUAAUUUGAGUGAUCUCCAGGCCAAGUUGUCAGCUGCAAACGUUGAAAGAGAUGAAACUGCUGAACGGCUUCAGACAGCAGAGGGUCAGAUUAAAUUGGUUGAAGCAAAGGCUCUGGAAGCUUCUACAAAUGCAGAAGCUCAUAAGAGUCAGCUCG